Molecule: long non-coding RNA, 685 nt
Organism: Ananas comosus (pineapple)
Lineage: Eukaryota; Viridiplantae; Streptophyta; Magnoliopsida; Poales; Bromeliaceae
Exons: 3
Source: RefSeq, a predicted model, not a curated record
UUGGACUUAUUAAGUAAAACCGAACAUGCCUGUCAAAUUUGAACGAAAACGGACAUCCAGAAGGGCUCCGGCGAAAAAUAAACUGCUCGAAGUGAAUAGUGCAUAGUUGAGGGGCAAAAUGGUAAAAAGGGACUUAAACCCUUUUAUCCUCCUUCCUCCCCAACCGUGGCUGCCCCAAACCGACACACACACACAUCCACACACGCAUGGAUAGGAGAAGAGAACCCUCUCUUUCUCUCUCUAGAUUUCUCCCAAAAAAAGAGAGAAAUUGGUGGAGAAGUAAGCUUAAAGAUGGAUUUUCAUCUUCAUCAUCAACUUCCUCUCCAUUGGAGCUAUUUUGAGAGGUAACGAAACGCGUUGGCGAAGACGGUUCGGCAAUCCGACGAGCCGUUGCGAAGUUAUUAAAGAAACGGACGUUUAGGCUUCGGGUCCGCCGGGAGGGCCGAGGCGACGUCGUAAAAUCAUGGAAAUGGAUUUGAGGCAUCGUGUUAGCGUGGCGAAGAGCUUCUACACUUGAAACAGCAAAGCGGCGCGCUCUUGGACCGCAAUUGUGAGAUCGGGCCAAACCGGGUGCCGGGUGCCGCGGGCGGCCGAUUGCAAGUGUCGACAAGCAAUCGGAACGUGUGUUAAGGUUCGUACGUGAGCGGCGCGGCGGCGCGAGGAAAGGGCGUAGCUCCGUAGAUAG